GCAUGCAAGUCGAGGGAGAACCAUUCGAUCCGUAAGGACCGGAUGGGGAAACCGGCGAACGGGUGCGUAACACGUGAGGAACCUGCCCCGAAGACCGGGAUAGCCCGAGGAAACUCGGAUUAAUACCGGAUACCCUCUUUGGACCACAUGGUCCGCUGAGGAAAUGGUCCGCCGCUUCGGGAUGGCCUCGCGGCCUAUCAGCUUGUUGGUGAGGUAACGGCUCACCAAGGCAAAGACGGGUAGCUGGUCUGAGAGGACGAUCAGCCACACUGGGACUGAGACACGGCCCAGACUCCUACGGGAGGCAGCAGCAGGGAAUAUUGCACAAUGGGCGAAAGCCUGAUGCAGCGACACCGCGUGCGGGAUGAAGGCCUUCGGGUUGUAAACCGCUUUCAGGAGGGACGAAAAUGACGGUACCUCCAGAAGAAGGCCCGGCCAACUACGUGCCAGCAGCCGCGGUAAUACGUAGGGGCCAAACGUUGUCCGGAUUUAUUGGGCGUAAAGGGCUCGUAGGCGGUUCAACAAGUCGAUCGUGAAAGCCCGGGGCUCAACCCCGGGACGCCGGUCGAAACUGUUGUGACUAGGGUCCGGUAGAGGUGAGUGGAAUUCUCGGUGUAGCGGUGGAAUGCGCAGA
This 634-nucleotide ribosomal RNA is filed under the name uncultured bacterium. RNAcentral describes it as "bacterial SSU rRNA". It matches the Rfam family "Bacterial small subunit ribosomal RNA", at positions 53 to 694 of the family's 1533-position model. The record is from RNAcentral.